UCGGAUGUGGUGUAGGGAGCACCGCCAGACUCGCUUGAUAUUGGAUGCGAUCGCGUUUCUGGCAGUCCGGGGUUCGAUUCCCCGCGUCCGAG
Non-coding RNA from Mycena leptocephala, 92 nucleotides. The record is from the annotation of a GenBank genome assembly. Lineage: Eukaryota; Fungi; Basidiomycota; Agaricomycetes; Agaricales; Mycenaceae.